RNAcentral lists this transfer RNA (104 nucleotides) under Immersiella caudata. Its description in RNAcentral is "Cercophora caudata tRNA". It matches the Rfam family "tRNA". From Rfam's summary of the family: Transfer RNA (tRNA) molecules are approximately 80 nucleotides in length. Their secondary structure includes four short double-helical elements and three loops (D, anti-codon, and T loops). Lineage: Eukaryota; Fungi; Ascomycota; Sordariomycetes; Sordariales; Lasiosphaeriaceae. The record is from Rfam by way of RNAcentral.
GCGGGUUUAGCUCAGUUGGGAGAGCGUCAGACUGAAGGAGUUACUUCAUUCCAUCAAUGGCAAUUGAUAUCUGAAGGUCAUGUGUUCGAUCCACAUAAACCGCA